GAGCUGCUCCACCUGCGCUUCU
RNAcentral lists this microRNA (22 nucleotides) under Ixodes ricinus (castor bean tick). RNAcentral's name for it is "iri-miR-X14-5p". Lineage: Eukaryota; Metazoa; Arthropoda; Arachnida; Ixodida; Ixodidae. The record is from RNAcentral.